Molecule: ribosomal RNA, 714 nt
Filed under: uncultured Actinomycetes bacterium
Lineage: Bacteria; Bacillati; Actinomycetota; Actinomycetes
Description: bacterial SSU rRNA
Rfam family: Bacterial small subunit ribosomal RNA
Source: RNAcentral
AGAGUUUGAUCAUGGCUCAGGACGAACGCUGGCGGCGUGCUUAACACAUGCAAGUCGAACGAGACCCAGGCCUUCGGGCCUGACGUCUAGUGGCGAACGGGUGAGUAACACGUGAGAAACCUGCCCUGGAGACUGGAAUAACCAGAGGAAACUCUGGCUAAUACCAGAUAUCCUCAACUGGCCGCAUGGCCGAUUGAGGAAAGGCUCCGGCGCUCUGGGAGGGUCUCGCGGCCUAUCAGCUUGUUGGCGGGGUAACGGCCCACCAAGGCAACGACGGGUAGCUGGUCUGAGAGGACGAUCAGCCACACUGGGACUGAGACACGGCCCAGACUCCUACGGGAGGCAGCAGUGGGGAAUAUUGCGCAAUGGGCGAAAGCCUGACGCAGCAACGCCGCGUGGGGGAUGAAGGCUUUCGGGUUGUAAACCCCUUUCGGCAGGGACGAAAAUGACGGUACCUGCAGAAGAAGCCCCGGCCAACUACGUGCCAGCAGCCGCGGUAACACGUAGGGGGCGAGCGUUGUCCGGAUUUAUUGGGCGUAAAGAGCUCGUAGGCGGUUGCGUAAGUCGGAUGUGAAAACUCAGGGCUCAACCCAGAGACGCCAUCCGAUACUGCGCUGACUGGAGUCCGGUAGGGGAGCAUGGAAUUCUUGGUGUACCGGUGAAAUGCGCAGAUAUCAGGAGGAACACCUGUGGCGAAGGCGGUGCCCUGGGCCG